RNAcentral lists this ribosomal RNA (775 nucleotides) under uncultured Neocallimastigales. RNAcentral's name for it is "partial large subunit ribosomal RNA". It matches the Rfam family "Eukaryotic large subunit ribosomal RNA", at positions 26 to 628 of the family's 3401-position model. Lineage: Eukaryota; Fungi; Neocallimastigomycota; Neocallimastigomycetes; Neocallimastigales. The record is from RNAcentral.
CGCAUCUGUGCAUGCAGCAUAUCAAUAAGCGGAGGAAAAGAAACUAACAAGGAUUCCCCUAGUAACGGCGAGUGAAGCGGGAAGAGCUCAAAUUUGAAAUCUUAAAGGGUUUCCCUUUACGAAUUGUAGUUUAAAGAAGUGUCUUCUGUUGAGGUUUUGGUAAAAGUUCUUUGGAAUAGGACAUCAUAGAGGGUGAGAAUCCCGUAUUUGACCUUUACUUUCAACUUUGUGAUACACUUUCAAAGAGUCGGAUUGUUUGGGAAUGCAGUCCAAAAUGGGUGGUAAAUUUCAUCUAAAGCUAAAUAUUGGCGAGAGACCGAUAGCGAACAAGUACCGUGAGGGAAAGAUGGAAAGAACUUUGAAAAGAGAGUUAAACAGUACGUGAAAUUGUCAAAAGGGAAGCGUUUGACACCAGUGUUGUUUUUCUGAAAAUCAAUUAAAGAACUGUUUAUGCUAAGCUGUUUAGACUUUAUCAGCUAUACUGUUUAGUUUUGAGCUUUUCUUUAACGCACUUUUCAGUUAACAAGUCAACAUCAAUUUCUUUUGCUGUAAAAAAGCUUGAGGAAGGUGGCUUGAGAUUCGUCUUAAGUGUUUAUAGCCUCUUGCCUAUGCAGUCGGAGAGAUUGAGGUCUGCAGCGUAGAUCCUUCGGGGCUAAAUGCAUUUGUGCUAAGUUAUAGCAUUUUAUAGACAACUUGUUGACUAUGAUUUGUCUUGUAGCUUACUCGCUUAUGUUAUUUUACCUACGCUUAGGAUGUUGAGUCGUAGAGCACGCAG